This 60-nucleotide transfer RNA is filed under the name Palaeopropithecus ingens (large sloth lemur). Its description in RNAcentral is "tRNA-Ser". Lineage: Eukaryota; Metazoa; Chordata; Mammalia; Primates; Palaeopropithecidae. The record is from RNAcentral.
GAGAAAGUGGUGCAAGAACUGCUAAUUCUGAGCCCCAUAUAUAAAAAUAUGGCUUCCUCA